This 500-nucleotide ribosomal RNA is filed under the name uncultured bacterium. Its description in RNAcentral is "partial 16S ribosomal RNA". It matches the Rfam family "Bacterial small subunit ribosomal RNA", at positions 30 to 523 of the family's 1533-position model. The record is from RNAcentral.
AUUGAACGCUGGCGGAAUGCUUUACACAUGCAAGUCGAACGGCAGCACGGACUUCGGUCUGGUGGCGAGUGGCGAACGGGUGAGUAAUGUAUCGGAACGUGCCCAGUCGUGGGGGAUAACGUAGUGAAAAUUACGCUAAUACCGCAUACGAUCUAUGGAUGAAAGCGGGGGAUCGCAAGACCUCGCGCGAUUGGAGCGGCCGAUAUCAGAUUAGGUAGUUGGGGGGGUAAAGGCCCACCAAGCCAACGAUCUGUAGGUGGUCUGAGAGGACGACCAGCCACACUGGAACUGAGACACGGUCCAGACUCCUACGGGAGGCAGCAGUGGGGAAUUUUGGACAAUGGGCGAAAGCCGGAUCCAGCCAUUCCGCGUGCAGGAUGAAGGACCUCGGGUUGUAAACUGCUUUUGUACAGAACGAAAAGGUUUCUACUAAUACUAGGAGCUCAUGACGGUACUGUAAGAAUAAGCACCGGCUAACUACGUGCCAGCCGCCGCUGUAA